This 344-nucleotide ribosomal RNA is filed under the name uncultured eukaryote. RNAcentral's name for it is "SSU rRNA". It matches the Rfam family "Eukaryotic small subunit ribosomal RNA", at positions 567 to 927 of the family's 1831-position model. The record is from RNAcentral.
CCAGCAGCCGCGGUAAUUCCAGCUCCAAUAGUGUAUAUUAAAGUUGUUGCAGUUAAAAAGCUCGUAGUUGAACUUCUGGCAGUGUGCAGUUAUGGCUUCGGUCAGACUGUUCGCUGUCAUCCGUCUGCAAACCUUGUUCGGCCUUCACUGGUACGGCAAGGGGAGUAGACAUUUUACUUUGAAAAAAUUAGAGUGUUUCAAGCAGGCUAUCGCCAGAAUACUUUAGCAUGGAAUAAUGGAAUAGGACUCUUGUCCAUUUGGUUGGUUAUUGGAUUAGAGUAAUGAUUAAUAGGGACAGUUGGGGGCAUUAGUAUUUAAUUGUCAGAGGUGAAAUUCAUGGAUUU